UUUAGGAAAAUGACAAUGAAAUCCUGGGCUGCGUUCACAAACUUUAGUUGGUAAGGUUGGUAAGAUGUAUUCCGAACUAAUCUCAUUCGCUGUUUUAUCCUUGUUUAUCAUAGCAGAUCUUUGUCAAGUUGCGGAAUAUACCCUUCAGACUUCUUCAGAAUCGACUGGCGUUUGUUUGUCCACGGUCCGUGUGAAAAGACAAAAGAAUAAACGAAUUCUUCUAACAAGAUGCAAACAACAUUUUAUACAACAGCCUGUUACAACAAGCUUAGAAAAAUAUAAGCUAUUAUCUAAUUUUAGAAAAAAAUUAAGUUACAUUAUUUUAAUAUUUGUUGGCACUAUUGCUCAUGUUGUAUUGAAAAUCCUUAUUUGCUGAUCUCGAGCGCAGGCAUACAUAUAUGUGGUAUAUUUGUGUUUUUUCCUACCCAGCACUGUCAAAAAAAAUUGACUCAUAAGAAAGUUGUUGAAGUCUGUACUCUAAAUAAAGCGUUUUUAAUCAUUUAGAUGAAAAAUUUGACAAGACUGGGUCUUAUUUUGGACUUGCAGAAGAUAUUUCAAAUUAAAUUUCAUGCAUAAUUUCUUCAUAAUCUUUACAGCCUUUGUUUUUAUUCUUACGCAUAAGUAGUAAAUGAAACAUACUAACCAAUGCAUGUACUUUCCUCGCAAGAUUACAUAG
RNAcentral lists this long non-coding RNA (676 nucleotides) under Neodiprion pinetum (white pine sawfly). RNAcentral describes it as "uncharacterized LOC124215608". The record is from RNAcentral. Lineage: Eukaryota; Metazoa; Arthropoda; Insecta; Hymenoptera; Diprionidae.